CAAGGGGUCCUGAGACAGAAGAGAACUUAAUUCCUUUCGAUACGUCUUCUCUGGCUCCCCAUAACGCCUUUCAAAAUUAUGUUUCGUCUCUGGGCUCUUUAAUAAUUUACACACAGCGCUUCUCCAGGUUCCUGAACCCUUCUCGAUGCUGGAUUAAGACCACCAGCAGGUAGCACCUCCUGGAGGCCAGCCGGCUGGAGGGGCCAGAUAGGCAGCCAGGGUGGCGACAGGGCGAAGCGAUGGAGCCGGCACUGGCAGGCGGGGCGCAGGCACGGCCUGCCGGUUCCGGGUCCCCCACGGAUCCCCGGCGCGCAGACCCGGCAGCGCCCGGACGGACCGGGACUCGCUCCACUCGCUCCCCGCACCACCCGGCGCCGGCGGCCCCCGACCGAGCGGGCAUCCGCACGCAGCGCCCCCACUCCGGCAGCACCCCCCCCCCCCAACACACACACACACACACACACACACACACACCGCCUUUCCUGCGGGCUUCAGCUCCUUGGUGACAGCCCAGACACCCAGACGCGCGCACCUACCCCGGCCUCCGUGGCGAGACGUACAUCCCCGUGCGUGCACCCAAACUCUUACCCUCAGA
Long non-coding RNA from Pipistrellus kuhlii (Kuhl's pipistrelle), 595 nucleotides. RefSeq lists it as uncharacterized. NCBI's taxonomy places the organism in Eukaryota, Metazoa, Chordata, Mammalia, Chiroptera, Vespertilionidae. The record is from RefSeq and is a predicted model, not a curated record. The transcript is spliced from 3 exons.